UUGUACUGGGGGAUAGCCUUUAGAAAUGAAGAUUAACACCCCAUAAUAUAUUUAGAUCGCAUGGUUUUUAUAUUAAAGGUUACGGUACAAGAUGAGUAUGCGUCCUAUUAGCUAGUUGGUAUGGUAACGGCAUACCAAGGCAACGAUAGGUAGGGGCCCUGAGAGGGGGCUCCCCCACACUGGUACUGAGACACGGACCAGACUCCUACGGGAGGCAGCAGUGAGGAAUAUUGGACAAUGGGGGGAACCCUGAUCCAGCCAUGCCGCGUGCAGGAAGACUGCCCUAUGGUUGUAAACUGCUUUUGUACGGGAAGAAACCGCUCUACGCGUAGAGCCUUGACGGUACCGUAAGAAUAAGCAUCGGCUAACUCCGUGCCAGCAGCCGCGGUAAUACGGAGGAUGCAAGCGUUAUCCGGAAUCAUUGGGUUUA
RNAcentral lists this ribosomal RNA (430 nucleotides) under uncultured bacterium. RNAcentral describes it as "bacterial SSU rRNA". It matches the Rfam family "Bacterial small subunit ribosomal RNA", at positions 131 to 562 of the family's 1533-position model. The record is from RNAcentral.